This 4840-nucleotide long non-coding RNA is filed under the name Ovis aries (sheep). Its description in RNAcentral is "lncRNA (ENSOARG00000026623.1)". The record is from RNAcentral. Lineage: Eukaryota; Metazoa; Chordata; Mammalia; Artiodactyla; Bovidae.
AUGCAGGACGGAGAUUCAGUUAAAAAAAAAAAAGAUCCCAACAGGCAACACACCGAAGAGGAAAGUGAGCCACCACUGAGCAUGGAAAGGCAUGUGACCCCAACAGUACCAGGGAAACACCCUGAAAGCACGUGGGAGACUCCAGGCAACACCACAGUGGCGGGAGCCUGGGUGGGGCGGCCUCUCUGGAAGACAGGGGUCACUGCCCAGCACCUGCUGAAGGCACACACCUGGACAGAGUCUGCACAGCCUCUCCUUCAGUCUUCAGAGGGCUCACCAAAGCUCCACUGUGGCCUGGGGUGUACAGAUGUGAGCUACUCCCAGACGGGGUCCACGUGGUACUUAGCCUACCCCCUGGAUUUUGGGUGGCUGGUAAGAUUACCCCAAACUAGGAAACAACACGAUCAUUUCACUCUCCUGAACGUGGCAUCCGAUGUAACCCUAAACUCGUAACCCCUCUAAUAGAGGCCCCUCAUCUUGAGUUAGUAACAUUACUAGGUAUUCCAAGCGGAUACUUAGUGAAAAUUUCAGUCUAGGUAUACUUUACACUGUAAAUCUUAACAGUGGCAUUUGAAUUUGUUAAAGUAAUUAUCAAUAAAAAAUGAAGAACAAUUAGAUUAAAAGGGAUGCUAUCAAAUCCCAACUAUUCUGUCUGGGAACACUGAGGCCACAGGAAGGGGGACUCCUCCACCAGAACCCAGGACCCCUGCUUCUCAAGCUGGUCUCCCCCACAACCUGCCCAGGCUCUCCACCUGCUCCCAGGACAGCCCCCAGUGCCAGCAUCCCUGUCCCAGCGUCUCCCAGUGACUCUCCACAGGCAGGGACACAGCAGGAAGCUAGAGAGCUCAGAAAGGCAGCGCAUGGAGGGAAGGCAGAUGAACCAUCAAAACAAAACCAGGGCGUAAAAGGGACUAUGACAACGCUGGCUAGUCACUCAGCAGCAGCCAUUGCAUCCCCAUGAGGGCAGAAUCCUGGCCAGCUCCCCAGGGCCUGGCAUGCCUCAGGUGGACACCAAGUGGUGGGCCAACAAGGACUGGCGGCCCUAUGAAGUGCUAAUCAGCAACUGAGCUGCAGGCCUCAGCCCAGGUGCCAGACUCAGCUGUCUUCUCAGAACCUCAGGGAGCUUGCCAGGAACAGCAGCAAAGCUGGAUGUGUGCUCCUUAGAAAACACUCAUAAGGCCCAGCGGGGACCACUGGACAGCUAAGCCACUGAGACAUCUCCAGGGAAAUGACUGCCUCUCGCUCAGCAGUGGUGUCCCCGAGCACUCACGCAUAAUCCGCUGGGACAGCUGACAGGCUCAGCAGAAGCAGCUGCCUGGCCUUUGGGGUGGGGUGGGGGGUGGGGCGGAUGCGACGGACAGACACACAGCCGGACAGCCCAGCAGUUUCAGACUGGGCCCAGAGUCCAAACCUCUUCACUUGUCAGGUCAGUCCCUGUCCUCACACACUUGCUUCUUUUGAAGGCUCGAAGCUUCUCGGAGUAACCCUGAGGUUCCAAGCACAGCCAGGAUAGCCCCUAGGCCGAGGGGAGACUCAGCUCCCAGCAACCUCCGCUGGCCCCAGCAAACCAUCCUCAGCAGCACUGCACCCCCCCACCCCCCUCACAGGGGUCCCCCUCCGCUCUGCACACCUGCGCCCUUGCAGCAUCCUGAGACAAGCGCACCCUCAGGAAGCGGGCGGGCGGCGGCGGACUCCCAGCCCAACCGGGGGAGGCACCCUGCUUGGUGGAGCUGGGCUGCAGGACUGGCUCCCCCAUCCCCGAGCAGGUCUCCUUCCUGGAGGCCNNNNNNNNNNNNNNNNNNNGCGCGCCGGCGCGCCCGGGGGCGCCCCUCCCCGCCCCCCGGCGGCGGCUUCCAGGCCUCAAGACCCGCCCUGGCAGUGCUCAGCGAAUGUCCCCAUUCCCACCAGCCAAGAGGGUGUGAACUCACAUUUACUGGGCACCACGUUGGGUGCCAGGCACUCAAAUAAAGGAUCCUUCCAACCCUCACAGUACCCUACUGACACGGAUGGUAUUAUCCUCAUUUUAUGGACAAGCGAAGGAGGCUAAGUCACUUGCCCCAGGUCACGCUGCUGUUGUUAAGGGUGGAAUCAGAGACUAAAGAGAGACGGAGCCUCAAAGUUCUCCCCAACUAUGCAAAGGAGGCUCACUUGUGAUUAAUUAGAGCAAUAAAGUUAUGAUAAAUGAUUUUCCUGAAACAUGUUCCACCUUGAGUGCCUGUGACCAAGGGCUUCAGAUGUGCCAGCCAGGGGCCCACCACCGAGAGCACCAACGCUCAGGCUCCCCCACUUACCACAACGGAGUCAUUAUGAGUCAGGUCGACGACCACAGGCUCUAAAGAUUCACAGGUGAGGUCCACUAUUUCAUCUCCAGCUUCAAAAUAAAGCAUUUUAACAAGCUUUAGAAGAAAAGUAAAGGCAUAUUGCCCAGUUUCAUUAAUAUGACAACUACCAAAACACAGCUUAUGGCAAACAUCCCUGGUCCAGUAGUAAAGGGGCAAGCAAUGAACACUCCUCGAGCCCUGCUCUGAACAACACUGCGCGGUUUAACCAAUACACCAGCCCUCCCUGUGGCUUCACACCCCACCCCUGCGCAUUCGCAGCAGAGGAGGCAGGGGGGGUGCACAGCCGGGGAGCCGCCAGGCACGCUGGGCUCGGGCUUCGGGGCGGGUCUGUCUGGAAGCUCCGCUCCCUCGAUCUCAGGUCAGGCUGUACUCGGCACCGCAGAGGCUGUACUCUUCAUCAGUUGCAUUUUCAUCUCCCUUUAGCCCACUGGCACUUCCCAACUUGGCUGGGCCGCAACGGUUUACUCACUGGUGCCCCAAAACCCCAACUUGCCAAGAGAGGUCGAGCCUGUCCUGCCACUUGCCUGUGGGCCCGAGAGUACACUGCACGUCUCCCCACGCGUGGGACACGUGGGAAGGGCGUGUGCCAAACAGUUACCAGCACUGAGGUCUGGCAGUGCACAACCUCCAUUUCUAUAAACUGAAACAAGAUUUACAACAAGAUUUACAACCAUCUUUGCUUCUAUUAUUCAUAACAUUAAAAAGCAGGAGGAAAGAACUUCUAGAAAUAAUGGUCAAUAUUUGGGGAAAGUCACUUGUAAUACAUUUAACAUAUUCAAAUUUUUGUUCUCCUGGAUUAAAAAGUUCACAGGAAUAAACAUCAUAAUAUAUCAAUGAUUCCAACAUAAUUUAUACAAAAUGAUUUUCUUUUAAAGAAUAGUCCAUAAUGGAUCUAUCAUAACUUACAGAACUGUUUCUCUUUCUGGUGAACACCGUUUUGGGUUCUUACAAUAAAAACUAUGCCAACGGGCAGCUUGUGCACGGAGUCCUGCACAUGGGCGUGAGGCUCACCGAGGACGGAAAAUGCCACCGUGGAGAGCAGUGGGCCUCAGGCAGGCUGGAGACUCUGAGCCCUCUGAGAGGCACGCAUGGGUUCCGUGUCCCACAGGAGCAGACCCCUGCACCUGCUGGGGGGGCGCGGGGGAAGCAGGGUGGCCCAGGGCUGUACGGGUCUGCCCGAAGUGAGAUCAGAGACCAGAGACAGGCGGAGGCCUCACUCCCUGAAGGGCCAUGACAUGACCUCAGGCAAGCCGCUUCUCUCCAAGUCUCAGUUCUCGUGCCUCAUAAUUACAAAAGCAACCUUCCCGUAUGCAGAGCGGAGGGACUGACGCAGGCCAUGUGCCACUGCCCUGAGCAGCCGAGCAGAGGGGAAAGAGCCAAUCUGCCUCCGCCCAUGCCCAGUGCCCUCCAGCCCAGGACGGUCGGCGCCAGGUCUGCCUUCUGCGGCAACUGUCGGUCUUGAUGAAGGAGAAAAGAAACCUGAGUACUUCCUGAGGCCAAGUUUAAGUUGAGACACAACUUCAAAGAGAAAAGGUGGACCCAGACAGUGUCCACGUCUAAGCUGCGCAGCCUCCGAGGAUGGCUGAUUAGGCCCAGGGGGCAGCUCUGGCUCACUUCAGCUUUGAGUCGUGGACGGUGAGUCUGAGACUGUCGGUCUUAUAAACACAGCGACUAAGCUGGACCUUGUAUAGCGCAUCUGACACGUACAGCUCUGAGUGUUCGUGUCACCUACUCACUUCAGAGCUGGAACAGCUCUACACAGAGCUACUGCAUAUACACGCGCCACGACCCUCGCACGCACGCACACGCGCCACGACCCUCACACACAGCCCCAUUAUUCAUGUGUUCACACAUGCCAUAAUCCUCACACACACACACGCCACAAUCCUCACAUGCACGCAUGCGAUGAUCCUCACACAGCUCCAUUAUUCAUGUGUUCACAUACGCCAUUAUCUGCACACACACACAUGCAUGAUCCUCACAUACAAACAGGCCAUUAUGCCCAUAUAUACACACAUGCCACUCAUUAUCCACGUGCACAGAAACCAUCAUCCAUGUGCACACAUUAUCCUCACACAUACACGCCACUCUCCUAUACACACACCCCCCAUUAUCCACGUAUACAUACACACAUCAUUCUCCUCAUAUACACACACACACGCCAUUGUGCUCAUAUACACACCAUUGUCCAAGUCAGACGGUAGGUGUUGCAAGAGGGCACCAGAGGGCAGACACACUGAAACCACACUCACAGAAAACUAGUCAGUCUAAUCACACUAGGACCACAGCCUUGGCUAACUCAAUGAAACUAAGCCAUGCCCGCAGGGCAAACCAAGACGGGCGGGUCACGGUGGAGAGGUCUGACAGAAUGCGCUCCACUGGAGAAGGGAAUGGCAAACCACUUCAGUAUUCUUGCCUUGAGAACCCCAAGGUCAUUAGGCUCUGGUAAAACCCAUGUUGUUUAGACUUUUGUAGAAUAGUUUCCCUGAGGGCAGGUC